This 278-nucleotide long non-coding RNA is filed under the name Lathyrus oleraceus (garden pea). Its description in RNAcentral is "Pisum sativum (pea) long non-coding RNA (PSAT_LNC027852)". Lineage: Eukaryota; Viridiplantae; Streptophyta; Magnoliopsida; Fabales; Fabaceae. The record is from RNAcentral.
UCCCCAUAUUCAACAUCUCGGUGAAGUCAGAAAGAGCACUAGCAAUCAUCUGCUCGUAAUAGAAUGAACUCAAGGUCUUCAAAAAGAUCUUGGUCAUUUCCUUCUCUUCCAGCGGAGGCACGAUCUGUGCUGCCACCUCUCACCACCUCUGGGCAUAUUCUUUGAAUGUUUCUUUGUCCUUCUGGGACAUGGCCCUUAACUUAUCUCUAUCGGGAGCCAUAUCCAUGUUAUAUUUGCAUUGCUUGACGAAGGCCUCGCCAAGGUCGUUGAAGGAUCGG